RNAcentral lists this non-coding RNA (23 nucleotides) under Rattus norvegicus (Norway rat). Lineage: Eukaryota; Metazoa; Chordata; Mammalia; Rodentia; Muridae. The record is from RNAcentral.
GACUUCUUGGGCAACCUAUUGUA